CGCUGUGAAGCUAGAUAGGAACGAGCAAUAGUCUUUUAAGCUAUUAACGGGUGGCUCCUAACCACCUUCAGCGA
This 74-nucleotide transfer RNA is filed under the name Leptobrachella pelodytoides (Thao Asian toad). RNAcentral's name for it is "Leptolalax pelodytoides (Thao Asian toad) tRNA-Lys". The record is from RNAcentral. Lineage: Eukaryota; Metazoa; Chordata; Amphibia; Anura; Megophryidae.